GCGCGGUAAGUCGGAUGUGAAAUCCCGGGGCUCAACCCCGGAACUGCAUCUGAUACUGCCGUGCUAGAGUAAUGGAGAGGUAGCUGGAAUUAUCGGUGUAGCAGUGAAAUGCGUAGAUAUCGAUAGGAACACUCGUGGCGAAAGCGAGCUACUGGACAUUUACUGACGCUGAGGCUCGAAGGCUAGGGGAGCGAAAGGGAUUAGAUACCCCUGUAGUCCUAGCAGUAAACGGUGCACGCUUGGUGUGAGGGGAAUCGACCCCCCUUGUGCCGGAGCUAACGCGUUAAGCGUGCCGCCUGGGAAGUACGGUCGCAAGACUAAAACUCAAAGAAAUUGACGGGGACCCGCACAAGCGGUGGAGUAUGUGGCUUAAUUCGAUGCAACGCGAAGAACCUUACCAAGGCUUGACAUGCAUCUCUAAACACGUGAAAGCGUGUGACCCUUCGGGGAAUUUGCACAGGUGCUGCAUGGCCGUCGUCAGCUCGUGUCGUGAGAUGUUGGGUUAAGUCCCGCAACGAGCGCAACCCUUGUGAUUAGUUGCCAGCACGUAAUGGUGGGGACUCUAGUCAGACUGCCCAGAUCAACUGGGAGGAAGGUGGGGACGACGUCAGGUCAGUAUGGCCCUUACGCCUUGGGCUGCACACGUACUACAAUGCCCAGCACAAUGAGAACCGAUACCGCGAGGUGGAGGAAAUCUGUAAAACUGGGCCCAGUUCGGAUUGGAGGCUGCAACUCGCCUCCAUGAAGUUGGAAUCGCUAGUAAUGGGGCAUCAUCUGCGGCCCCGUGAAUACGUUCCCGGGUCUUGUACACACCGCCCGUCACAUCAUGGAAGCUGGUCGCACCCGAAGUGCUCGCGCCAACCGCAAGGAGGUAGAGCCCUAAGGUAAGGCUGGUAACUGGGAUGAAGUCGUAACAAGGUAACCAAGGGCGAA
This 933-nucleotide ribosomal RNA is filed under the name uncultured bacterium. Its description in RNAcentral is "bacterial SSU rRNA". It matches the Rfam family "Bacterial small subunit ribosomal RNA", at positions 578 to 1510 of the family's 1533-position model. The record is from RNAcentral.